UCAGUAGCCUAGUGGUAAUGGUCACGAGCCCUGGCAUGAGUUGUUAAGUCUCGGGUUCGAAUCCUGAUACUGAAGAG
Trichonephila inaurata madagascariensis is the source of this 77-nucleotide non-coding RNA. Lineage: Eukaryota; Metazoa; Arthropoda; Arachnida; Araneae; Nephilidae. The record is from the annotation of a GenBank genome assembly.